UUAAUUCAAGUGCUAGAAAUGGUUAAAGAAGUUGAUCCGAGGGUUAAAAACUUAAAAGCGCCAACUCUUUUAUGCUUUAUAUACUAUUAGGAGCGCAUCAGCCAUUGUGCUCCUAAGUUCCUUGCCAUCUAUUAAAUUUGAUGGAUAAUUACGAUUAAUCUAUCAUUUCUCUCUUAAUUUCUCUUCUCCCAUUCUUUCUCAAUUUUCUCUAUCCCUCACUCAAUUUCUCCUCUCUUUCUCUCUCAGCCACCAACGAUCCCUUUCUACCAUUCUCCUCCCCACCAUUUCCUUCACCAUUAUUUUCCUUCCCCAUUGGCAACCACCGUUCGUCGCACCCACCCCUCCACCAUCAUCCCUCUCCACCUUAAACUAAACCCUAAAGCCCACACUCUCCCCUCUCUUCCCAGUGGGUCGCCUGUGAUACCCUAAUAAUCCCACAUCGAAUAGUUAUGGCUAGAUGUAGGGGUAUAUAAGAAUGAUUAGACUAGACAUAAUAACUGGGCUUAAGUAUUUUGGGCCGGUGGUUUAGGCCCAACGAGUUAUUAUUGCUAGCGGGUCGGAUCGUUACAUUUG
This 573-nucleotide long non-coding RNA is filed under the name Ananas comosus (pineapple). RNAcentral describes it as "long non-coding RNA (ACOM_LNC007352)". The record is from RNAcentral. Lineage: Eukaryota; Viridiplantae; Streptophyta; Magnoliopsida; Poales; Bromeliaceae.